AGAAUCAACGCUGGCGGCGUGCCUAACACAUGCAAGUCGAGCGCGAAAGGGAGCAAUCCCAAGUAGAGCGGCAGACGGGUGAGUAACGCGUGGGUGAUCUGCCUUCGAGUGGGGGAAUAACACCGGGGAAACUGGUGCUAAUACCGCAUGACAUCGUCGAUUCAUUUCGACGAUCAAAGCCGGGGACCGCAAGGCCUGGCGCUUGAAGAGGAGCCCGCGUCCGAUUAGCUAGUUGGCGGGGUAA
RNAcentral lists this ribosomal RNA (244 nucleotides) under uncultured soil bacterium. RNAcentral describes it as "partial 16S ribosomal RNA". It matches the Rfam family "Bacterial small subunit ribosomal RNA", at positions 26 to 260 of the family's 1533-position model. The record is from RNAcentral.